CAGGAAAUAGUUUAGUUAAAAUAUUAAUUUUGGGGAUUAAAGAUAGAGGUUUAUUUUUUCCUGA
Molecule: transfer RNA, 64 nt
Filed under: Distenia punctulatoides
Lineage: Eukaryota; Metazoa; Arthropoda; Insecta; Coleoptera; Cerambycidae
Description: tRNA-Pro
Source: RNAcentral